RNAcentral lists this ribosomal RNA (758 nucleotides) under uncultured bacterium. RNAcentral's name for it is "bacterial SSU rRNA". It matches the Rfam family "Bacterial small subunit ribosomal RNA", at positions 626 to 1382 of the family's 1533-position model. The record is from RNAcentral.
UUGGAAACUGUUAGACUUGAGUGCAGAAGGGGAGAGUGGAAUUCCAUGUGUAGCGGNGAAAUGCGUAGAUAUAUGGAGGAACACCGGUGGCGAAAGCGGCUCUNUGGUCUGUCACUGACGCUGAGGCUCGAAAGCGUGGGUAGCGAACAGGAUUAGAUACCCUGGUAGUCCACGCCGUAAACGCUGAGUGCUAGGUGUUAGGUCCUUUCCGGGACUUAGUGCCGACGCUAACGCAUUAAGCACUCCGCCUGGGGAGUACGACCGCAAGGUUGAAACUCAAAGGAAUUGACGGGGGCCCGCACAAGCGGUGGAGCAUGUGGUUUAAUUCGAAGCAACGCGAAGAACCUUACCAGGUCUUGACAUCCCGAUGCCCGCUCUAGAGAUAGAGUUUUACUUUUUGUACAUCGGAGACAGGUGGUGCAUGGUUGUCGUCAGCUCGUGUCGUGAGAUGUUGGGUNNNNNNNNNNNNNCGAGCGCAACCCUUAUUGUUAGUUGCCAUCAUUAAGUUGGGCACUCUAGCGAGACUGCCGGUAAUAAACCGGAGGAAGGUGGGGAUGACGUCAAAUCAUCAUGCCCCUUAUGACCUGGGCUACACACGUGCUACAAUGGUUGGUACAACGAGUCGCAAGCCGGUGACGGCAAGCUAAUCUCUGAAAGCCAAUCUCAGUUCGGAUUGUAGGCUGCAACUCGCCUACAUGAAGUCGGAAUCGCUAGUAAUCGCGGAUCAGCACGCCGCGGUGAAUACGUUCCCGGGCCUU